GUGUUGUUGAACUGAUGAGUCUUCAUGUCUCUUCUCUGACAAACCACUGUAGGGAGCUUAAACACCUCUGAUUCCAACAC
RNAcentral lists this small nucleolar RNA (80 nucleotides) under Hucho hucho (huchen). RNAcentral's name for it is "Small nucleolar RNA SNORD111 (ENSHHUG00000036644.1)". The record is from RNAcentral. Lineage: Eukaryota; Metazoa; Chordata; Actinopteri; Salmoniformes; Salmonidae.